CCCUUAGAUGUUCUGGGCUGCACGCGCGCUACACUGAUGCGUUCAACGAGUUUAUAACCUUGCCCGAUAGGGUUGGGUAAUCUUUUGAAAACGCAUCGUGAUGGGGAUAGAUUAUUGUAAUUAUUAAUCUUCAACGAGGAAUUCCUAGUAAGCGCGAAUCAUCAGUUCGUGCUGAUUACGUCCCUGCCCUUUGUACACACCGCCCGUCGCUCCUACCGAUUGGGUGUGCUGGUGAAAUGUUCGGAUCGGCCGUUUGUCGCGGUUUCCGCGUCAUGUGGCUGAGAAGUUCAUUAAACCCUCCCACCUAGAGGAAGGAGAAGUCGUAACA
RNAcentral lists this ribosomal RNA (328 nucleotides) under uncultured eukaryote. Its description in RNAcentral is "partial 18S ribosomal RNA". It matches the Rfam family "Eukaryotic small subunit ribosomal RNA", at positions 1470 to 1796 of the family's 1831-position model. The record is from RNAcentral.